RNAcentral lists this ribosomal RNA (581 nucleotides) under uncultured bacterium. RNAcentral describes it as "bacterial SSU rRNA". It matches the Rfam family "Bacterial small subunit ribosomal RNA", at positions 338 to 917 of the family's 1533-position model. The record is from RNAcentral.
CCUACGGGAGGCAGCAGUAAGGAAUAUUGGUCAAUGGGCGCAAGCCUGAACCAGCCAUGCCGCGUGCAGGAAGACGGCCCUAUGGGUUGUAAACUGCUUUUGAACAAGAGAAAACCUCGGUACGUGUACCGAGCUGAUAGUAUUGUUAGAAUAAGCAUCGGCUAACUUCGUGCCAGCAGCCGCGGUAAGACGAAGGAUGCAAGCGUUAUCCGGAUUCAUUGGGUUUAAAGGGUGCGUAGGCGGCCUGAUAAGUCAGUGGUGAAAUCUCUCAGCUUAACUGAGAAACUGCCAUUGAUACUGUCGGGCUUGAGUACAGAUGAUGUGGGCGGAAUAUGACAUGUAGUGGUGAAAUACUUAGAUAUGUCAUAGAACACCGAUUGCGAAGGCAGCUCACAAAACUGUAACUGACGCUGAGGCACGAAAGUGCGGGGAUCAAACAGGAUUAGAUACCCUGGUAGUCCGCACCGUAAACGAUGAUUACUCGUUGUUGGCAAUAUGACCGUCAGCGACCAAGCGAAAGCGAUAAGUAAUCCACCCUGGGGAGUACGCCGGCAACGGUGAAACUCAAAUGAAUUGACGGG